Long non-coding RNA from Strigops habroptila (Kakapo), 5411 nucleotides. Lineage: Eukaryota; Metazoa; Chordata; Aves; Psittaciformes; Psittacidae. The record is from Ensembl.
GGGCUGCCCAGGGACUCAAUGGCCUCACAGUGCAUCCAUCAGGGACUGCCGAGCUCCUUGGGAUGGAGCAGGAGUGGCAAGGAGAGAUUUUUCACCCUGGAGGAGGAGAUGUACCCUCCCUUCACCUUCUUCUUCACUACAUUAGUAUGAUCUAGUGUUCUGAUCCGGACCUGAGCAACCUCGAUUGUGGCCAUUCCCUGGAUGACAGAAAGCUUUGUAGACACCCAUUAAGAUGUUUGUGCUGCUGAUGGUGGUUUCCCCUGUUUUGGGUAUUAGCCAAACAUACCUCAAGCACUCAGCUGCCCUACAGCAAACACCCUCCUAUGCUGCAGUGACAUAAAAUACUGAUGGUUUUGGCAAGUGCCCCAGCCAAACUGCCAUGAAGGAUUCCACAGGAACCCUCCCCACAACUGGAUGCACUUCUCCCCAUCACGUCCCCUCCCCUGUGUUAGCACUGUGUCACCACAUGGUGAUAACCAGCCUCUCUUGGAGGUGACUGCCCUUUGCUCAGCAGAUAUGGAGCAAAAUGAUGGAGGGACAUCCAGGUUCCUGUUGUUUGGUGCAGGUGGGAGCUCCCCUGGCCCUUUCCAGGUCUUAACACUUUUACUCACUGACUGGAUGAAGUCUCCCAUCACAAACUAGGUCUGUGUUGAGCCCCUGGGGUCUUAGCCUUGAAGUAAGAUAGCCAAGGGGUGCCAGACUGGUGUUUUGAUGCCAUAUCAUGGGAAUGGCCAAGGGGGCUGAUAUCUUGUCUCUUGGAGACUCAGGCAGGGCUGAUAAAAUGUUUGUGUCUCAUGAAACUCAACCCAGAGUUUGGGUUGGCCAUCACCCAGCCUUCUCCUCCACCUUUGCUCAGCCAGCUCUGGAGCUGAUGGGAUUCAGUGUGACAUACUGGCUCAUGCUUAAUUCUGCCCUCAAAAUCUUGCACAUGGUUAGCAUCUCACCUGAAACAAGAAGUCAUCUCUAACUUGCCAGCAAAAGCUGUGGUCACAAUGAUCUCAGGUCAGUUGCUCACACAGGGGGUCCAGAGACAUUAGAGAUGCUCUGGGAUACCCAAUACAUGGGGCUGCCCCAGAUGAUCCAAGAUCUAUGGGAGAGUCAGGCCAGUGGUGGGAAGACCUGGAGCAUCUCUUGUGGCACAUCACCCAGUGCGGGCAACUGACUUGUGCUCCAGGCAUGAGCAAAUAGAGGAUUUAAUCAGCUCCAGCAAUUUCCAUCCAUGAGGAUUUGGGCUGAGCAGGUCAUCCUGGUGCCAGGGAAGGUCUAAGCAGCCCCUUUUCCCCCUUGCUGUGAGCAGGGCUGCUUUGCUCCACCAUCAUGUCGAGGUGGGUUGCUGUUGCUCUAAGAUGCCAAGCCAGCACUCCCGUCUCACCCUGAGGGUGAACGCCGCCACCAUCGCACGUUGUUGUGCUUCACACAGUCCCACUUAGCUUCUGCCACUGUCUCGUGGCAGCACCAUUCCUGCUGUCGCUGGCAUCCUGCCGGAGCGAGAUCACCUCCCGAGCUUCCACACUCAAGAUAGGAAUCGAGUUGUUGCUCUUAUGCUGCUACGUUCUACAGAGACAAGUGUAUUUGGAUGUAAAUAACAGCCCAGCUCUGUAUUUGCAACGAUUAAAUGAAGAGACAAGAAAGUUCUCUGGCUUCUAUAUUGCUGAAUGGGAUGCACAGUAGCAGCUGAUGCUGUAUUUGAGUGCUGAGUGCUACAUGGAGGUGCUCAGCACCCCCUGAGCUUUUGCUGGCUGCAAUGCAAAUGGGGGGGCUCAUCUUCCAGGAAGGCAAUCCACUUGGAAUUGACUCUAACAAAGCAUCCUGGUGUCACUCUGUCCUGCUUUGAUGCUUGCUGUCAUCCUGAGCUGAGAUUUGAUAGUCCCCUGGUUAAAACUGGAGUCCCCUCUGCCUAUCCCUGUGUUGCACCAAACCCCUUGCAGACAGUGUCUCCUUUGAGCCCUGCUGCCCAUGAGCUCUGCCCAUGGGAAGGACCAACCCACCCCACUCCUGCCCCUUGCAGUGGCACUUUAUGGCUUGCUCAACACAGCGAGCUCAUGAGCAACAUGACCAAAGAUCUCCAGAAGGCAUUGGGAUUGCACGUGUGGAGCUGCCUCCUGGUUUUCCAGAGGAAGGAUGAGGCUGAUGUGGGCUGGAAAAGGGGAAUGAGAACUGGCAGGAGACAAGUAAGGGCUUGGCUUUCCCUGUGUCCCACCUGGGAAUGUUUGCAGGUCCAUGUGCUAGAUAGAAGUUCCUGUGUGAGCUGAUUGUCCCCAGUUGGUUAGACCAAUAUGCUCCAUGGCUGUGCCAACUAGCUCCAUGCACUGCCCAAAGAGAGUGUGGACCAGAGGCUGUUUCUAGGAGGCAGGAUGGAUGCAAUUCCCACUUUUUUUUCAUGAGGAGAAGGGAGGAUGCAUGCCAAGCAAUUACACUUGUCUUCAGGGCAACAGGUCUCCUCUAGUUUAGUAGCAGAUGUUACAGGGUCCAGUCAAGGGCUUGUGCUGGCUCAGUGGGAUGUGGCCAGGAACAUGUGCAUCCUGAGAGCUGGUGGCCCUGCUGGCUGCCCCCUUGGUGUCCUCUCCCAGCUCACCCCAGGGCACCCUCAGCACCCUCCUUACCAGGGAACCAUCUUCUGAGGUGAAGGGACCAUGGUCUUUGCUUCUCCUGCUUAGGGUUCUAAAGGCAUCUCUGCCCACCUUAGCUCCCUGAAGGCUCCUGAACCUGGUCCCAGGGGGAGAUCUGUGCUCAUCCAGCCACAGUGCUCCUGUGGAUGGAUGCUCGGAUGGGUCUGGGCCUUGGGCACAUGCCCAUCCACCUUGUCUCUGCUUCCCAGCUAUGCUAAGCUUCUCCACUCCUUCCAUACCAUGAAAGCCUGCUGAUGCGCAGUGACAGCCCUCACUCCUGUCCUGGAUGGGAGCAGGUCCAACUUGCCAUUAUUUUAACCCAACCCCUCAAUCUAAGCCUUGAAAGCCACUUUACAGAGUCACUUUUCAUCCAGACCCCUUGCUAAAGACCUGCUCAUCAUGUUGCCUUUGCCCUGCUAGUCCUCUGCCCCAGCUCUCCUGCCUCCUUUCAGACCAUCACCAUCCCUGUUGUCCCAGGAGCAGUCAGUGCCUCUCCCAGACACAUCUGAACAAGCUGGAGCUGAAGGCAAAGCCUCUACUGAUAAUGGUGUGUCCCAACCCUGACCUCAGCAGAGCUUUCUAGACCACUGAUCCUCACCUCUUCUCUCAUGUCAUUCCCAUUCCCAGCUAAAUCGGCUCUGCUUUACUUCCAAGAUCAAUCUUGCUACUUGCUGAAGGACAUCUCCAUGGCUUGAAACCACUUGGGAUCAUUGCAUGGGGCUUCACACCAUCGCAACAGCACAGCCAGCCAGCUCUGGGGCUUCCCUGGUCCUUCCCCCCUCUGGAAAGACAGGGAUGUGAGGGGUGUAUGAGCAUCCCUGCUCUGCAGGGGCACACAGCACCCAGUGUAUCAAGGGGUUGGGAUCACAUCCAGCUGUUCGCAGUUGUUUGCUUCCCAAAAGGAUGUUCCAUGCUGGCAACACCAGACAUGAGCUUUUGCAUGUUCAGGAUAAGCCUCCUCACUGGUUCUCCUGAUGAAGGGGAUGGUGUCAGGUCUGGAGCCUGGGACAAGCUCUGGCACACAGGGUUGUGUCUUCACAGCUCUUCCACAGAUGUGUUUCCUCAGGCAGAAGGUCUCCGCUUUCUGUCACAAAGCAAUAGGUUUUUCUAGAGGGAUUCUAAAGGGACUAUUCCCAACUCUGAUACCUGCAGGCAAACCAAUGUUCUUUUGAAUACCUUCAUAGCUCUAGCCCUGGGCUCUCCUUGGGAAAGGGGUGCAAAGUCCAAUCUGGCUCCAAAUAAUCACCAAUGGUUUGAGCUUGGUGGUCCCCAUUCUUCCGGAGAGCCCAAAGCUGCCCAUAUCCAGCAGGCCACCAGUCUGGGUCCACAGGAGGUGUGCUCCAUCCCCCUCCGGUGCCCAUCCCAUUACUGUUACUGGGUCUUCUCCAUUAGCUCACCCAUGUGGGAGCCGCUGGGUCCCCUGGGGUGUCUGAGCACCCAGUUACAUUUGGUGACAACCAGACACCAGCGGGAGACCAUGGCAUUGGCUCUGCCAUUCCUGAGAGCCAGGCUGUCCUCUCUCGGAGGAGAAGAUCCCCUUUCCCAUUCAGGUGGCACUUGGGUUCCCUUCCAGCGGCUGCAGGGAGCAACACACAUGCAGGCAGAGCUCCACCACCGGUGCCAAAAGCGUUCCACCACCGGUGCAAUGAAAUGCUGCACAACCGGCCAAUGUGUCUAUGCAGUCCCUUUCCACGCAGCGGUGUCCCCGCAGAGCCCAGCCCAGGGCUGGAGCUCCUCCAAGGUGUCUUCGUUUGCACUCACUCGGACCUGGUAAUCGCUGUGAGCCGAGAGGAAACCCUCUUGGUCUUUGCCUUGCCCCAGGCAGUACGCUUGUGAGGGUUUCCUCCUCCUAAACCGAUGCACGUCACUUAGUCACCCGUCUUCUGCGUCUGUUCUUCAGCAGGUCAGUAGGUGUCCAUCCCCAAAACCCAGCUCCCUGAUGGGAGAACGUCAGGUUGGGCCACCCAGGGCCCCCCGAGCAAGCCUGCUGUCUGAUUUCACCAGCAAUAAAAGCCCCACGGAGGAGCAGGCAGAGCUCUCCAUUGCUGCUCCACCACCGGGUGAGCUGCAGGCUGUGUCUGUGUGUAGGACCUUCCGCAUUAGACCCUUGGUCCAACUACUUUGGACCUACCCAACUGUAAAUUCAAGCCCAGCCUUGUGCUUUCUUUCCUCUUGUCCGUUUCUUGACGCCUUUGGUCUCUCUUUCUGCUCUUACUGUGAAUUCCAAACCAGAAGUGUUCUGAUCUAGACUCUGUUACUGUUUUGUUUCUGCGUUGACUGUUGCUGGGUCUCCGAACUGCGUUUAAUGAGACUUUGCAAAAAGAAAUGAAGAUAAAAACAAUAAAAAGAAUAUAAAUAUAUAUAUAUACUUUAAAAAUUAAAUAUUUAAAAGAGGUUCAUAAAGUUGGGUGUCUCUCCUAUCCACUGGUCACUUCCAAACACCGUUGUCUUGACUUCACCUCUGGUGUUUAAAGAAAAGAGGUUGAUAAAGAAAAGGGAUCAAAACGCAGCGUUCCGGGAUUUUUGUACAGCAAAGGUGUAUCUGUUUUGGGAAUUCUCGUGAAAACCACCCCACAUCUCCCCAUCUACUGCUGGUCUGUUGUAUGUUUCCAUUGGGUUCUCAAGGUGUGAAGAGCUACUGCCUUUGCGAUUUUCUACGGUGAAUAUAUAUCUGUACAGAGGUAUGUAUAUAUAUAAAUAUAUACGAAGAUCUAUAUGUAUACGUAUCUCUCCUCUCUCCACCUGACUGUGAAGGAUUUUUAUUGGGCAAAAUAAACUGGAGAAAGGCCCCAUUUUAAAAAG